GAUCAAGUUACCAAGGGCGUACGGUGGAUGUCUAGGCGUUGAGAGGCGAUGAAGGACGUGGGAACCUGCGAUAAGCCCAGAGGAGCUGGUAACCGAGCGUUGAUCCUGGGAUUUCCGAAUGGGGCAACCCGGUCCCGCCACUAAAUCGGUUUUGAGCGGUCGAAACACCGGCCAAUGCAUAGACCGAUCUAGUGGCGGGAUCACCUACGCCUGAAUGCAUAGGGCGUGGGGGCGAACCUGGCGAACUGAAACAUCUCAGUAGCCAGAGGAAAAGAAAGCAAACGCGAUUCCGUCGGUAGCGGCGAGCGAAAGCGGAACAGCCCAAACCGUCCCGACUUGUCGGGGCGGGGUUGCGGGCGCCAAUGUGGCACGCUUGAUCAACCUGUGAAUCGUUCAGGAAAGCCGAACCAAAGAAGGUGACAGUCCUGUAGCAGGUGGUGACAGCGGCCUAGGCGUACCAGAGUAGCACGGGGCUCGUGGAACUCUGUGUGAAACUGGGGGGUCCACCCUCCAAGGCUAAAUACUCCUCAACGACCAAUAGCGCACCAGUAAGGCGACUGAAUGAUGAAAAGCACCCCGAUAAGGGGAGUGAAAAGUACCUGAAACCGCAUGCCUACAAGCGGUCGGAGCCCUCGCAUUCUUCGGGAUGUUGGGGUGACGGCGUGCCUUUUGCAUAAUGAGUCGACGAGUUACUCUCUGUGGCAAGGCUAAGUUGUAUCCCAACGGAGCCGAAGGGAAACCGAGUCUUAAACGGGCGUGUAGUCGCAGGGGGUAGACGCGAAACCGAGUGAUCUACCCAUGGGCAGGUUGAAGAGAGGGUAAUGCCUCUUGGAGGACCGAACCCACUAACGUUGAAAAGUUAGGGGAUGACCUGUGGGGAGGAGUGAAAGUCUAAUCAUACUCGGAGAUAUCUCGUUCUCCUCGAAAUAGCUUUAGGGCUAGCCUCACGUUACACCGCACGGGGGUAGAGCGACUGGAUGGGGCUGGGGGGCCACAAGCCUACCCACUUCAACCAAACUCCGAAUACCGUGCGGCUCUGUCGUGGGAGUCAGUCCGCGGGAGAUAAUUUCCGCGGUCAAAAGGGAAACAGCCCAGACCGUCAGUUAAGGCCCCUAAACGGUUCUCAGUUUCUAAGGUAGUCGGAUUGCAGUGACAGCCGGGAUGUUGGCUUAGAAGCAGCCACCAUUUAAAGAGUUCGUAACAGAUCACCGGUCGAGGAAUCCGGCGCCGAUAAUGAUCGGGAAUAAGGAUCGUGCCGAAACUGCGGCUCCGCUACUAAACUUCACGCGCCGCGCGCUGAUCGUGAUAUUGCCGCGAUUGGCGCUCGACGUGAGAAGUUUAGUAGCGGGGGGUAGAGGAGCGUUCCUGUCAGCUGCGAAGCGUCGCCGGAAGGCGUCGUGGAGCGGCAGGAAGUGAAUAUGUCAGCUUGAGUAACGAUAAACGGAGUGAGAAUCUCCGUCGCCGAAAGCCUAAGGUUUCCUGGGGAAGGUAAAUCCGCCCAGGGUUAGGCGGGUCCUAAGGCGAGGCCGAAAGGCGUAGUCGAUGGAUAGCAGGUUAAUAUUCCUGCCCUCCCAUGUGCGGUUGAACCGGCGUGACGGAUCGUGAAGCUUGACGGGACAGUGAAGCGUCCAGGCCCUUGAGGCCGAUGUCGGGUGGAUCGAUUCCAAGAAAAGCCGUCCGGUGACAAACAUGGGACCCGUACCGCAAACUGACACAGGUAGGCUUGGCGAAAAGCCUCAGGCGCUCGAGAGAACGGUUGUGAAGGAACUCGGCAAAUUCACCCCGUACGUUCGCAAUAAGGGGGCCCUCUCCCGCCACUAAAUGGCUCUGAACGGUCGUUGAGAUAACACGAUCGUGCCCGAGCCCUUUAGUGGCGGGAAGGGCGCAGAGAAAAGGCUCUGGCGACUGUUUAUCAAA
This 1917-nucleotide ribosomal RNA is filed under the name Planctomycetota bacterium. RNAcentral's name for it is "partial 23S ribosomal RNA". It matches the Rfam family "Bacterial large subunit ribosomal RNA", at positions 1 to 1811 of the family's 2925-position model. Lineage: Bacteria; Pseudomonadati; Planctomycetota. The record is from RNAcentral.